Molecule: ribosomal RNA, 500 nt
Filed under: uncultured bacterium
Lineage: Bacteria
Description: partial 16S ribosomal RNA
Rfam family: Bacterial small subunit ribosomal RNA
Source: RNAcentral
AUUGAACGCUGGCGGAAUGCUUUACACAUGCAAGUCGAACGGCAGCACGGACUUCGGUCCGGUGGCGAGUGGCGAACGGGUGAGUAAUGUAUCGGAACGUGCCCAGUCGUGGGGGAUAACGUAGUGAAAAUUACGCUAAUACCGCGUACGAUCUAUGGAUGAAAGCGGGGGAUCGCAAGACCUCGCGCGAUUGGAGCGGCCGAUAUCAGAUUAGGUAGUUGGUGGGGUAAAGGCCCACCAAGCCAACGAUCUGUAGCUGGUCUGAGAGGACGACCAGCCACACUGGAACUGAGACACGGUCCAGGCUCCUACGGGAGGCAGCAGUGGGGAAUUUUGGACAGUGGGCGAAAGCCUGAUCCAGCCAUUCCGCGUGCAGGAUGAAGGCCCUCGGGUUGUAAACUGCUUUUGUACAGAACGAAAAGGUUUCUACUAAUACUAGGAGCUCAUGACGGUACUGUAAGAAUAAGCACCGGCUAACUACGUGCCAGCCGCCGCCGUAA